This 1612-nucleotide ribosomal RNA is filed under the name Shigella flexneri. RNAcentral's name for it is "partial 23S ribosomal RNA". It matches the Rfam family "Bacterial large subunit ribosomal RNA", at positions 393 to 1990 of the family's 2925-position model. Lineage: Bacteria; Pseudomonadati; Pseudomonadota; Gammaproteobacteria; Enterobacterales; Enterobacteriaceae. The record is from RNAcentral.
CAUAUUGUGAGCUCGAUGAGUAGGGCGGGACACGUGGUAUCCUGUCUGAAUAUGGGGGGACCAUCCUCCAAGGCUAAAUACUCCUGACUGACCGAUAGUGAACCAGUACCGUGAGGGAAAGGCGAAAAGAACCCCGGCGAGGGGAGUGAAAAAGAACCUGAAACCGUGUACGUACAAGCAGUGGGAGCACGCUUAGGCGUGUGACUGCGUACCUUUUGUAUAAUGGGUCAGCGACUUAUAUUCUGUAGCAAGGUUAACCGAAUAGGGGAGCCGAAGGGAAACCGAGUCUUAACUGGGCGUUAAGUUGCAGGGUAUAGACCCGAAACCCGGUGAUCUAGCCAUGGGCAGGUUGAAGGUUGGGUAACACUAACUGGAGGACCGAACCGACUAAUGUUGAAAAAUUAGCGGAUGACUUGUGGCUGGGGGUGAAAGGCCAAUCAAACCGGGAGAUAGCUGGUUCUCCCCGAAAGCUAUUUAGGUAGCGCCUCGUGAAUUCAUCUCCGGGGGUAGAGCACUGUUUCGGCAAGGGGGUCAUCCCGACUUACCAACCCGAUGCAAACUGCGAAUACCGGAGAAUGUUAUCACGGGAGACACACGGCGGGUGCUAACGUCCGUCGUGAAGAGGGAAACAACCCAGACCGCCAGCUAAGGUCCCAAAGUCAUGGUUAAGUGGGAAACGAUGUGGGAAGGCCCAGACAGCCAGGAUGUUGGCUUAGAAGCAGCCAUCAUUUAAAGAAAGCGUAAUAGCUCACUGGUCGAGUCGGCCUGCGCGGAAGAUGUAACGGGGCUAAACCAUGCACCGAAGCUGCGGCAGCGACGCUGAUGCGUUGUUGGGUAGGGGAGCGUUCUGUAAGCCUGUGAAGGUGUGCUGUGAGGUAUGCUGGAGGUAUCAGAAGUGCGAAUGCUGACAUAAGUAACGAUAAAGCGGGUGAAAAGCCCGCUCGCCGGAAGACCAAGGGUUCCUGUCCAACGUUAAUCGGGGCAGGGUGAGUCGACCCCUAAGGCGAGGCCGAAAGGCGUAGUCGAUGGGAAACAGGUUAAUAUUCCUGUACUUGGUGUUACUGCGAAGGGGGGACGGAGAAGGCUAUGUUGGCCGGGCGACGGUUGUCCCGGUUUAAGCGUGUAGGCUGGUUUUCCAGGCAAAUCCGGAAAACUAAGGCUGAGGCGUGAUGACGAGGCACUACGGUGCUGAAGCAACAAAUGCCCUGCUUCCAGGAAAAGCCUCUAAGCAUCAGGUAACAUCAAAUCGUACCCCAAACCGACACAGGUGGUCAGGUAGAGAAUACCAAGGCGCUUGAGAGAACUCGGGUGAAGGAACUAGGCAAAAUGGUGCCGUAACUUCGGGAGAAGGCACGCUGAUAUGUAGGUGAAGUCCCUCGCGGAUGGAGCUGAAAUCAGUCGAAGAUACCAGCUGGCUGCAACUGUUUAUUAAAAACACAGCACUGUGCAAACACGAAAGUGGACGUAUACGGUGUGACGCCUGCCCGGUGCCGGAAGGUUAAUUGAUGGGGUCAGCGCAAGCGAAGCUCUUGAUCGAAGCCCCGGUAAACGGCGGCCGUAACUAUAACGGUCCUAAGGUAGCGAAAUUCCUUGUCGGGUAAGUUCCGACCUG